GAUGAACGCUGGCGGCGUGCCUAAUACAUGCAAGUCGAGCGAACAGACGAGGAGCUUGCUCCUCUGACGUUAGCGGCGGACGGGUGAGGAACACGUGGAUAACCUACCUAUAAGACUGGGAUAACUUCGGGAAACCUGAUCUAAUACCGGAUAAUAUAUUGAACCGCAUGGUCCAAUAGUGAAAGACGGUUUUGCUGUCACUUAUAGAUGGAUCCGCGCCGCAUUAGCUAGUUGGUAAGGUAACGGCUUACCAAGGCAACGAUGCGUAGCCGACCUGAGAGGGUGAUCGGCCACACUGGAACUGAGACACGGUCCAGACUCCUACGGGAGGCAGCAGUAGGGAAUCUUCCGCAAAGGGAGAAAGCCUGACGGAGCAACGCCGCGUGAGUGAUGAAGGUCUUCGGAUCGUAAAACUCUGUUAUUAGGGAAGAACAAAUGUGUAAGUAACUAUGCACGUCUUGACGGUACCUAAUCAGAAAGCCACGGCUAACUACGUG
RNAcentral lists this ribosomal RNA (497 nucleotides) under uncultured bacterium. RNAcentral describes it as "partial 16S ribosomal RNA". It matches the Rfam family "Bacterial small subunit ribosomal RNA", at positions 28 to 507 of the family's 1533-position model. The record is from RNAcentral.